Molecule: non-coding RNA, 665 nt
Organism: Solanum lycopersicum (tomato)
Lineage: Eukaryota; Viridiplantae; Streptophyta; Magnoliopsida; Solanales; Solanaceae
Source: RefSeq, a predicted model, not a curated record
UUGGCAUUGCUAUUGGGAGCCUAUAAGUAUUUAUUUUGAAAUAUAUAUAUAUUUUUAAAUAGAAGCAAAAACGGUUUUUUUGCUAUCGAGAAUUAGCUAAAAAAAUUUGCUUUUUUAAAAAAAGUAAAAAUACAAAAACUAUGCAGAUUAGUUAGUUGCCUUAAAUCUCUCAAAUUAGUUUAAAUGAGAAUAAAUUUUGAUUUAGUUCCUUAAAAAGCUCUAACAAAUUGACAUCAACAUACAAGUUAUUUUUUUUUUCAAUUUUCACUAUUCUUUCAGAUUUGCAGCAGAUAUCAGUUCACUUUUUUUUAGUAAUUGAGAAAAGUUUGACGUUGGAAAAAGAUUGAUUUGCUAUGAUGGAGAACAUUGUGUCGAUAUUAAUUAAAUAUGGUGGAAGGUGGAAUUCAUCAGGUAAUACCAUCGACGGUUGAUAUGUAUGUUGUUGUUGAAGGACCAAAGAAGUACAUAGUAAAUUUAAGUACAAGGUGUGUAGUUGCGGGAUAUUUCACCAUUAUGAAAUACCAUGUGAUCAUGUAAUUGCAGUUCUUAGAUACAACAAACUGCAUGAAACAUAUUUGUGUUCUGUCUUUUAUGGCCUGAAGAAUUUCAGAGGUGCAUAUGUCAUCCCUGUUGAACCUAUCUCAUGCGAGAGUACGUUGGAUAUA